UGUAUAAUGGGUCAGCGACUUAUAUUCUGUAGCAAGGUUAACCGAAUAGGGGAGCCGAAGGGAAACCGAGUCUUAACUGGGCGUUAAGUUGCAGGGUAUAGACCCGAAACCCGGUGAUCUAGCCAUGGGCAGGUUGAAGGUUGGGUAACACUAACUGGAGGACCGAACCGACUAAUGUUGAAAAAUUAGCGGAUGACUUGUGGCUGGGGGUGAAAGGCCAAUCAAACCGGGAGAUAGCUGGUUCUCCCCGAAAGCUAUUUAGGUAGCGCCUCGUGAAUUCAUCUCCGGGGGUAGAGCACUGUUUCGGCAAGGGGGUCAUCCCGACUUACCAACCCGAUGCAAACUGCGAAUACCGGAGAAUGUUAUCACGGGAGACACACGGCGGGUGCUAACGUCCGUCGUGAAGAGGGAAACAACCCAGACCGCCAGCUAAGGUCCCAAAGUCAUGGUUAAGUGGGAAACGAUGUGGGAAGGCCCAGACAGCCAGGAUGUUGGCUUAGAAGCAGCCAUCAUUUAAAGAAAGCGUAAUAGCUCACUGGUCGAGUCGGCCUGCGCGGAAGAUGUAACGGGGCUAAACCAUGCACCGAAGCUGCGGCAGCGACGCUUAUGCGUUGUUGGGUAGGGGAGCGUUCUGUAAGCCUGCGAAGGUGU
RNAcentral lists this ribosomal RNA (651 nucleotides) under Escherichia coli. Its description in RNAcentral is "partial 23S ribosomal RNA". It matches the Rfam family "Bacterial large subunit ribosomal RNA", at positions 609 to 1259 of the family's 2925-position model. The record is from RNAcentral. Lineage: Bacteria; Pseudomonadati; Pseudomonadota; Gammaproteobacteria; Enterobacterales; Enterobacteriaceae.